RNAcentral lists this long non-coding RNA (420 nucleotides) under Felis catus (domestic cat). Its description in RNAcentral is "lncRNA (ENSFCAG00000047030.1)". Lineage: Eukaryota; Metazoa; Chordata; Mammalia; Carnivora; Felidae. The record is from RNAcentral.
AUGGUCAACAGUGAUAAUUUCUCAACCAAAGGCAUUAAAUUAACAACCACUUUUUGUUGUUUUCAGUUGAUCUGGGGGAGAAAAAAAGAUACCAACCAUAUCUACCUGGCAGGUGUUAGCCAAGGUCUGGUCUGUUGCUAUGAUGCAUCAUCACUAGUAAUUACAGCUGGAUAUGGGUGCAGCUCUGUCGGAAAAUCUCCUGGGAUUAUGAUUUCUCUAAGGACACAUGCAUUUCCUAAUUCAUGUGCUGUUCCUAAAAAACAAUUCUACAGGAUGGUUUGUUAACAUUGGCUUUACGAGGACAUAAUCCCAGUGGCAUGUUAUUUAAAGUGGUGGCAUCCAUGUUUCAUGAGAAGCUUUCAGAUGGCAAGGCUGAAAGCCAGAACUGGCAAAGUCAAGGCAAAAGUUAAAAGGUAAGGG